UACGUAGGGGGCUAGCGUUGUCCGGAAUCAUUGGGCGUAAAGCGUGCGUAGGCGGCCCGGUAAGUCUGCUGUGAAAGCCCCGGGCUCAACCUGGGAAUGGCAGUGGAUACUGGCAAGCUAGAGUGCGGUAGAGGGUAGUGGAAUUCCCGGUGUAGCGGUGAAAUGCGUAGAGAUCGGGAGGAACACCAGUGGCGAAGGCGGCUACCUGGACCAGCACUGACACUGAGGCACGAAAGCGUGGGGAGCAAACAGG
RNAcentral lists this ribosomal RNA (253 nucleotides) under uncultured bacterium. Its description in RNAcentral is "partial 16S ribosomal RNA". It matches the Rfam family "Bacterial small subunit ribosomal RNA", at positions 524 to 776 of the family's 1533-position model. The record is from RNAcentral.